GUACUCUGCAACCCGAGUACAUGAAGCUGGAAUCGCUAGUAAUCGCGAAUCAGAAUGUCGCGGUGAAUACGUUCCCGGGUCUUGUACACACCGCCCGUCACACCAUGGGAGAUGGAUAUGCCCAAAGUCAGUGACCUAACCGCAAGGGAGGAGCUGCCUAAGGUGGAGCCAUUAACUGGGGUGAAGUCGUAACAAGGUACC
RNAcentral lists this ribosomal RNA (201 nucleotides) under uncultured bacterium. Its description in RNAcentral is "partial 16S ribosomal RNA". It matches the Rfam family "Bacterial small subunit ribosomal RNA", at positions 1300 to 1500 of the family's 1533-position model. The record is from RNAcentral.